Molecule: non-coding RNA, 483 nt
Organism: Oryctolagus cuniculus (rabbit)
Lineage: Eukaryota; Metazoa; Chordata; Mammalia; Lagomorpha; Leporidae
Source: RefSeq, a predicted model, not a curated record
AUUUCAAGAUUUUUCUUUAGAUUUCUUCUUUGACCCAUGUGUUAUAUAGAAGUUCAAUCUUCAAAUAUUUUGGAAUUUUCUAGUUAUCAUUUCUGAGUUCUGCUUUAAUUCAGUUGUAGUCUGACAGCAUAGUGUUUUUAUUUAAAAAGAUUUUUAAGAUAUGUUUUAUGUUCUGGAAUGUGGUGAAUGUUCCAUGAGCUAAAGAAGAAUUCUGUAUCCUGCUGUUAUGGAUGAAGUAGCUACAGUUGCUUAUUAAAUCUAGUUAAUUCAUGGUUUUAUUGAGUUAAACUACGGCUUUACUGAUUUUUUGCCAGCUAGAUAGUCUAUUUCUGAUAGAGGAGUAUUGAAGUCUCCAACUACAUCUUUAACCAUUUCUCCUAACAGAUCUAUCACUUUUUGUCUUACACAUUUUUGAUGCUCUGGAACUAGAAGCAAAAUCUGGAAUUGAGAGAAAAAGUGACUAGACUGAGGACACACAGGAGG